AAACUUUUUUCGGAAGAAAAAAUCUGUUCUUAUCAGUUUAAUAUCUUAUACGUCCCCUACGCGGGGACCAUAUAUUAAAUUGAUUUUUGGAACUGAGAGAUGGAAUAGGGGCUUGCUCCGUCAACUCCACGCAUCGACCUGGUAUUGCAGUACCUCCAGGAACGGUGCACUCCCA
Molecule: small nuclear RNA, 175 nt
Gene: U2
Rfam family: U2 spliceosomal RNA
About the family: U2 is a small nuclear RNA (snRNA) component of the spliceosome (involved in pre-mRNA splicing). Complementary binding between U2 snRNA (in an area lying towards the 5' end but 3' to hairpin I) and the branchpoint sequence (BPS) of the intron results the bulging out of an unpaired adenosine, on the BPS, which initiates a nucleophilic attack at the intronic 5' splice site, thus starting the first of two transesterification reactions that mediate splicing.
Source: Ensembl